RNAcentral lists this ribosomal RNA (341 nucleotides) under uncultured bacterium. RNAcentral describes it as "bacterial SSU rRNA". It matches the Rfam family "Bacterial small subunit ribosomal RNA", at positions 452 to 793 of the family's 1533-position model. The record is from RNAcentral.
GUUAAUAGCAUACUCAUUUGACGUUAGCUGCAGAAGAAGCACCGGCUAACUCCGUGCCAGCAGCCGCGGUAAUACGGAGGGUGCGAGCGUUAAUCGGAAUUACUGGGCGUAAAGCGCAUGCAGGUGGUUUGUUAAGUCAGAUGUGAAAGCCCGGGGCUCAACCUCGGAAUUGCAUUUGAAACUGGCAAACUAGAGUACUGUAGAGGGGGUAGAAUUUCAGGUGUAGCGGUGAAAUGCGUAGAGAUCUGAAGGAAUACCGGUGGCGAAGGCGGCCCCCUGGACAGAUACUGACACUCAGAUGCGAAAGCGUGGGGAGCAAACAGGAUUAGAUACCCUCGUAG